This is a non-coding RNA of Cyprinodon variegatus (sheepshead minnow), 945 nucleotides long. The record is from Ensembl. Lineage: Eukaryota; Metazoa; Chordata; Actinopteri; Cyprinodontiformes; Cyprinodontidae.
CAAAGGCUUGGUCCUGACUUUUCUGUCAGCUUUAGCAAUAUUUACACAUGCAAGUAUCCGCACCCCCGCGAGAAUGCCCCACAGUUUCCUCCCUAGGAAACAAGGAGCUGGUAUCAGGCACGCCUUUGCAGCCCACGACACCUUGCUUAGCCGCACCCCCAAGGGAAUUCAGCAGUGAUAAACAUUAAGCCAUAAGUGAAAACUUGACUUAGUUAAAGCUAAGAGAGCCGGUCAAACUCGUGCCAGCCACCGCGGUUAUACGAGAGGCUCAAGUUGACAGCCUUCGGCGUAAAGCGUGGUUAGGGGCUCACAACAACUAAAGCCAAACCCUCUCAUAGCUGUUAUACGCACUCGAGAGCAUGAAGCCCAACAACGAAAGUAGCUUUACUCCCCCUGACCCCACGAAAGCUGUGAAACAAACUGGGAUUAGAUACCCCACUAUGCACAGCCCUAAACUUCGAUAAUAUCUUACAACUAUUAUCCGCCCGGGAACUACGAGCAUUAGCUUAAAACCCAAAGGACUUGGCGGUGCUUUAGAUCCCUCUAGAGGAGCCUGUUCUAGAACCGAUAACCCCCGUUAAACCUCACCUUCUCUUGUUCUCCCCGCCUAUAUACCGCCGUCGUCAGCAUACCCUGUGAAGGAACUAUAGUAAGCAAAAUUGGUAAAGCCCAAAACGCCAGGUCGAGGUGUAGCAUAUGAGAAGGGAAGAAAUGGGCUACAUUUCCUCAUGGAGGAAAUACGAAUUGUGCCAUGCAACAGCACAUGAAGGAGGAUUUAGUAGUAAGCAGGAAGCAGAGUGUCCUGCUGAACCCGGCCCUGAAGCGCGCACACACCGCCCGUCACUCUCCCCAAGCCAACACCCUCAAUUUUAUAAAACCUUAGCCAGGCAAAGGGGAGGCAAGUCGUAACAUGGUAAGUGUACCGGAAGGUGCACUUGGAAAAAU